CCGCUGGGGACACCCGCCGGCGUCACCCGGUGCCUGGCGUCGCCCAGAACCUGGUGUCACCUGGAACCUGGUGGCAUCUGGUGGCCUCAUCGCCCACCCCGCUUGCUCACCAAGCGCCCAUCCGGGGGGCUACCGGCACCCAUGGGUGCCAGCACCCGCUGGGGACACCCGCCAGCGUCACCCGGUGUCACCCGGCACCAGGCGUCGCCCAGAACCUGGUGUCACCUGGAACCUGGUGGCAUCUGGUGGCCUCACCACCCACCCCGCUUGCUCACCAAGUGCCCGUCCCGGGGGCUACCGGCACCCAUGGGUGCCAGCACCCGCUGGGGACACCCGCCGGCGUCACCCGGUGUCACCCGGCGCCUGGCAUCACCCGGAACCUGGUGGCAUCUGGAACCUGGUGGCCCCAUCACCCACCCCGCUUGCUCACCGAGCGCCCGUCCUGCGGGGACCCGCACCCAUGGGUGCCAGCACCCGCUGGGGACACCCGCCGGCGUCACCCGGCGUCACCCGGCGCCUGGCGUCACCCGGAACCUGGUGGCAUCUGGAACCGGUGGCCUCUGGUGGCCUUACUGCCCACCCCGCUUGCUCACUGAGCGCCCGUCCUGCGGGGACCCGCACCCAUGGGUGCCAGCACCCGCUGGGGACACCCGCUGGCGUCACCCGGCGUCACCCGGCACCUGGCGUCGCCCGGAACCUGGUGUCACCUGGAACCUGGUGGCAUCUGGUGGCCUCAUCGCCCACCCCGCUUGCUCACCGAGCGCCCGUCCUGGGGGCACCCGCACCCAUGGGUGCCAGCACCCGCUGGGGACACCCGCCGGCGUCACCCGGCGCCUGGCGUCACCCAGAACCUGGUGUCACCUGGAACCGGUGGCCCCAUCACCCACCCCGCUUGCUCACCGAGCGCCCGUCCUGGGGGGGGACCUGCACCCAUGGGUGCCAGCACCCGCUGGGGACACCCGUGCGAGUGUGCGAGACCCUCGUGCGAGACCCCCGUGCGAGGGGGGGGGCCGCUCACCUGGGGCUGGGGGUCGGACCAGAGCAGAUCACACAUGGGACCUGGGGGGGGGAAGGGGGGGGACAUGGUGAGGGGACCCCACUGGGUGGGGGGCACCCAGGGGACCCCCAGGGACC
RNAcentral lists this long non-coding RNA (1134 nucleotides) under Dromaius novaehollandiae (emu). RNAcentral's name for it is "lncRNA (ENSDNVG00000011058.1)". Lineage: Eukaryota; Metazoa; Chordata; Aves; Casuariiformes; Dromaiidae. The record is from RNAcentral.